Long non-coding RNA from Pollicipes pollicipes, 562 nucleotides. RefSeq lists it as uncharacterized. The transcript has 3 exons. Lineage: Eukaryota; Metazoa; Arthropoda; Thecostraca; Pollicipedomorpha; Pollicipedidae. The record is from RefSeq and is a predicted model, not a curated record.
AGUAACAGUGUGUGGUGGCACCGGGUCGUCCAGUAGCCGUGGGUGGCCAGCACCGUUCUGGCCAACAGUAGCGGGUGGUCAGCACCGGUCCAGCAAGAAGCCGUGGGCAGUCAACACCAGUCCGGUUUGAAAGCUGCAUGGUGAUAGUGCCAUAGGCUCAGAGCACUAAGUUGCCUGCAAUCAAUUUUGGUGGUUUUGGCUGUUUUUGAUGACUUUUGACCUGACUCAAGGUCAUCACAUUCUGAAAGGGGAAGAAUACCGAGUAUGGCUCAUCGAUUGGUGAAGGUUUCACGCCGAGCGGUGCCAUGGGCCCGGAGCAUGGGGCUGUGAACAGGUUCAGUCCGCCGUUCAGGCCUUCCCGCGGUCUCGUGCGUGUUGCCGCUGUUGUGCGGUAAUUUGCAACCGUGUGGCCCGCGUCACCCCGUGCUGAGAGGGCCGGCGGUCUGAGCAGCUCGGGAGAGAUCUGACGACGGCCAUGCUGAGUGCCCUGCUGACGGCGGCCAGGCGGCCGGCUCACCUGCGCAGCGCGGCGCCCUGCCUGGUGCGCCACCUGAGCGGCGCC